AGCGAACGCUGGCGGCAGGCCUAACGCAUGCAAGUCGAACGGAUCCUUCGGGAUUAGUGGCGGACGGGUGAGUAACACGUGGGAACGUGCCCUUUGGUUCGGAACAACUCAGGGAAACUUGAGCUAAUACCGGAUGUGCCCUUCGGGGGAAAGAUUUAUCGCCAUUGGAGCGGCCCGCGUUGGAUUAGGUAGUUGGUGAG
This 200-nucleotide ribosomal RNA is filed under the name uncultured bacterium. RNAcentral describes it as "partial 16S ribosomal RNA". It matches the Rfam family "Bacterial small subunit ribosomal RNA", at positions 29 to 256 of the family's 1533-position model. The record is from RNAcentral.